This 497-nucleotide ribosomal RNA is filed under the name uncultured bacterium. RNAcentral's name for it is "partial 16S ribosomal RNA". It matches the Rfam family "Bacterial small subunit ribosomal RNA", at positions 28 to 507 of the family's 1533-position model. The record is from RNAcentral.
GACGAACGCUGGCGGCGUGCCUAAUACAUGCAAGUCGAACGCUGAAGAGAGGAGCUUGCUCUGAUUGGAUGAGUUGCGAACGGGUGAGUCACGGGUAGGUACCCUGCAUUGUAGCGGGGGAUCAGUAUUGGAACCGUAAGCCAAUACAGCAUAACAAUGGAUGACACAUGGCACUUAUUUGAAAGGGGCAAUUGCUCAACUUCAAGCUGGACCUGCGUUGUAUUAGGUAGUAGGUGAGGUAAGGGCUCACCUCGGAGUGGAUACAUAGGAGAACUGAUCGGGUGGUCGACCACACUGGGACUGGGACACGGCCCAGACUCCUACGGGAGGCAGCAGGAGGGAAUCUUCGGCAAUGGGGGCAACCCUGACCGAACAACGCCGCGGGAGGUAAGAAGGUUUUCGGGUCGUAAAGCUCUGUUGUAAUGCGAGAACGGGUGGUAGGGUGGAAAGUUCACGCUGUGACGGUAGCUUACCAGAAAGGGACGGCUAACUACGUG